Salarias fasciatus (jewelled blenny) is the source of this 280-nucleotide long non-coding RNA. RefSeq lists it as uncharacterized. NCBI's taxonomy places the organism in Eukaryota, Metazoa, Chordata, Actinopteri, Blenniiformes, Blenniidae. The record is from RefSeq and is a predicted model, not a curated record. The transcript has 3 exons.
CACCAUACAAAUGGGAUGAUGUUGUAAAAGCAGUAAGAUCACAGGAACAACCUGGAACACGUUGGAUUCCGUACAAACUACUUAUGAGGAAGCGAGGGUCAAACUGCCAGAGCCUGAAAGAUUCACGGAUUUGACUGAUUCAGAAACCAGCCACAGAGACACAAACGGAGAACAAUGAAGAGGUGUCACAUUCAAGAUGAUGCGGAUAGUGAAGAUGAGACGUCGGGAGCAUCUACUUUACCUAGACCUCCAGAAAUGGCCACUGCAAAGAAGCUGUCAC